AUUGAACGCUGGCGGCAGGCCUAACACAUGCAAGUCGAACGCGUGGCGGACGGGUGAGUAAUGUCUGGGAAACUGCCUGAUGGAGGGGGAUAACUACGGGAAACUGUAGCUAAUACCGCAUAACCUCGGAUGUGCCCAGAUGGGAUUAGCUAGUAGGUGGGGUAAAGGCUCCCCUAGGCGACGACCCCUAGCUGGUCUGAGAGGAUGACCAGCCACACUGGAACUGAGACACGGUCCAGACUCCUACGGGAGGCAGCAGUGGGGAAUAUUGCACAAGGGGCGCAAGCCUGAUGCAGCCAUGCCGCGUGUAUGAAGAAGGCCUUCGGGUUGUAAAGUACUUUCAGCGGGGAGGCGUUACCCACAGAAGAAGCACCGGCUAACUCCGUGCCAGCCGCCGCGGUAAUAC
This 406-nucleotide ribosomal RNA is filed under the name uncultured bacterium. RNAcentral's name for it is "partial 16S ribosomal RNA". It matches the Rfam family "Bacterial small subunit ribosomal RNA", at positions 30 to 526 of the family's 1533-position model. The record is from RNAcentral.